UCAUAGAAUCAUAGAUUAUUAGGGUUGGAAGGGACCUUAGGAGGUCAUCUAGCCCAACCUCUACUCAAAGUAGAACCAAUCCCCAACAAAAUGAUUCCAGCCAG
Gopherus evgoodei (Goodes thornscrub tortoise) is the source of this 104-nucleotide long non-coding RNA. RefSeq lists it as uncharacterized. NCBI's taxonomy places the organism in Eukaryota, Metazoa, Chordata, Testudines, Testudinidae. The record is from RefSeq and is a predicted model, not a curated record. The transcript has 3 exons.